This 253-nucleotide ribosomal RNA is filed under the name uncultured bacterium. Its description in RNAcentral is "partial 16S ribosomal RNA". It matches the Rfam family "Bacterial small subunit ribosomal RNA", at positions 524 to 776 of the family's 1533-position model. The record is from RNAcentral.
GACGAAGGGGGCUAGCGUUGCUCGGAAUUACUGGGCGUAAAGCGCACGUAGGCGGCUUUCUAAGUCGGGGGUGAAAUCCUGGAGCUCAACUCCAGAACUGCCUUCGAUACUGGAAAGCUCGAGUCCGGGAGAGGUGAGUGGAACUGCGAGUGUAGAGGUGAAAUUCGUAGAUAUUCGCAAGAACACCAGUGGCGAAGGCGGCUCACUGGCCCGGUACUGACGCUGAGGUGCGAAAGCGUGGGGAGCAAACAGG